This 279-nucleotide unclassified non-coding RNA is filed under the name Hevea brasiliensis (rubber tree). Lineage: Eukaryota; Viridiplantae; Streptophyta; Magnoliopsida; Malpighiales; Euphorbiaceae. The record is from RNAcentral.
UCCCACAUGAUAUAAAUGAUGAUAAAUAAUAAGAAAACCAAGACGGUCUGCUCAUAGACUUUAGAGAUGGCUCACUUUUUUUUUUUUUUUUUUUUGGGCUAAAACUCUUGAGGCAAAAUGCUACCUUCAUGCUUAGUCUCUGUCACUAAGUGAAAACUUGUCUCAUCUGAGCUGCCAUUGAAGUUAUAAAGUUUUACCAGUCCAUAUUCAUUGCCAACUGCCAAAUUUGAAGUGAGGGAACAGAAGUCCAAAUUUGAUACUGGAGUACUAAAGCCAGUA